This 253-nucleotide ribosomal RNA is filed under the name uncultured bacterium. RNAcentral describes it as "partial 16S ribosomal RNA". It matches the Rfam family "Bacterial small subunit ribosomal RNA", at positions 524 to 776 of the family's 1533-position model. The record is from RNAcentral.
UACGGGGGGAGCAAGCGUUGUUCGGAUUUACUGGGCGUAAAGGGCGCGUAGGCGGCGUGACAAGUCACUUGUGAAAUCUCCGGGCUUAACUCGGAGCGGUCAAGUGAUACUGUCGUGCUAGAGUGCGGAAGGGGCUACUGGAAUUCUCGGUGUAGCGGUGAAAUGCGUUGAUAUCGACCGGAACUCCGGUGGCGAAGGCGAGGCGCUGGACCCUUUCUGACGCUGAGGCGCGAAAGCCAGGGGAGCAAACGGG